AUGGCGGACAUGUCGUCGCCGACUGGCCAGGCCCGGCCGGCGGCGCCGAUGGCGACGGCUGACCUGGAGGCCGCCAUCGCGGCGCUCCCCGUCAGGAAGCAGCGCCUGCGGGAGACCUUCGACCGCCUCGUCGCCUGCGCGCCGCCCCAUUACCAUCUCCCCUUCACCUGGGACGACAUCGACGCCCAUGUCUCCUCCCUCCACGCCUCCCUCUCCCUCCGCUUCCGCCAGAUGCAGCAGCAGCCCCACCCCGGCGCCCCCGUGUCCGCAACCGCGAUCCACGACGCCGAGCAGCCCCACCCCUGCGUGCCCGUGCCCGCAACCGCAACCCCCGCCGACGGGCAGCCCGACCCUUGCGUCCCCGUGUCCGCAACCCACGGCGAGUCCAUCCAGGAGGACGAGGAGAUGGUUAUGGAGGAUGAAGACGCCUCUCCUGUUCAAGAGGAUGAUAGAGUGGAGGACGCAGGCAUGGGCUUUGUGGGGGCGCCAAUGCGCCAGGCCGGAGGAACUCGUGAUCAAGAGUUUCCGGUUCCGGCGCGGGCUCACGCCCUGGACGCCGGCAGCCCUAUGCUUCGGCAGCCAUACACGGCGUUCCCGCCUGAAGUGCAUAGCCAGCUGAAUCUUCCUAUGCUCCAGCGACAACAACCAUACAUGCGGUACCAGCAGCAGGAGUUUCCUGCCAUGGCGGUGGCCAGGAAUACCUACAAUAUUCCUCCGAUGGUCCAGCAGCCGUACCCGUACCACAAUAUUCCUCCGAUGGUGCAGCGGCCGUACGUGCCGUACUUCAGGCAAGAAUUCUCCCCUGAUUUCAGGCAAGAAUUCUUCCCUGAUGAUGAUGUGACGAGGCAGCCCUUCAGGCAAGAAUUCUCCCCUGGUUUCAGGCAAGACUUCUUCCCUGAUGAUGAUGUGACGAGGCAGCCCUUCAGGCAAGAAUUCUCCCCUGGUUUCAGAAUUCUUCCCUGA
Molecule: ribosomal RNA, 963 nt
Filed under: Triticum aestivum (bread wheat)
Lineage: Eukaryota; Viridiplantae; Streptophyta; Magnoliopsida; Poales; Poaceae
Description: partial small subunit ribosomal RNA
Source: RNAcentral